Molecule: RNA transcript, 1242 nt
Organism: Glycine soja
Lineage: Eukaryota; Viridiplantae; Streptophyta; Magnoliopsida; Fabales; Fabaceae
Gene name: ribosomal RNA small subunit methyltransferase NEP1-like
Exons: 9
Source: RefSeq, a predicted model, not a curated record
AGGGCAGAAACAAAAGCAUAACCCUAGCUAGGACGUGUUUGGAGUUGGUUUGAGCGUAUUGAGGCAAUGACGCGACCUUACGGUGUGAAGGGGGGCCGGAAGCGAAAGCACGCCGAACCCAAAUACGACGAAGAAGACCAAGAAACGCAACCAAAAAAAGCUGUGGUGGAGGUGGAGCACAACAAAGAAGAAGAACAACAGCAACAAACACCAGAGGGGGAUGAAUUGAGCGGUAUCCCAAUUACGCCCAGUGAGAACAACACCAACAAACCCAACGUCAUCUUCAUUCUAGAAAAAGCUUCUUUGGAAGUCGCCAAAGUCGGCAAGACAUAUCAGCUCUUAAACUCCGACGACCAUGCCAAUUUCCUCCGCAAAAAUAACAAGAAUCCCGGAGAUUACAGGCCUGACAUUACUCAUCAGUCCCUUUUAUCUAUUUUGGAUAGCCCACUAAAUAAAGCUGGGAGAUUGCGGUCGGUAUACAUAAGGACUGAAAAAGGUGUUCUUAUAGAGGUUAAGCCCUUUGUUCGUAUUCCAAGAACAUUCAAACGCUUUGCUGGUGUCAUGUUGGAAUUGCUUCAAAAAUUGAGCAUAUCUGCUGUUGGCAAGCGCGAGAAACUUCUCCGAACCAUCAAAAACCCUGUCACGCAGUAUUUGCCUAUCAACUCACGAAAAAUAGGUCUAUCGUAUAGUUCAGAAAAGCUUGUAGAUAUGGAUGACUAUGUAUCAACUGUUCCCAGCAAUAUGGACCUUGUCUUUGUGGUAGGAGCAAUGGCCCAUGGGAAGAUUGAGACAGAUUAUACAGAAGAUUAUGUAGCAAGUGUGUAUUAGCUGAUUGCCAUGUCUCUUUAUGUAUGAACUUUGUACUUGUUUAUGAACAAUGGCCAAUGUUGGACUAGACUAGCUUUGAUAAUAUUGGCAAAUACAAAUACACGGAUCAGCUGAGCAUUUCGGGGUACCCUCUAAGUGCUGCUUAUUGUAUUACAAGGAUUACUGGUGCCCUUGAGAGAAAGUGGAAGAUUUUGUGAUUUAACACCACCUUCAGUUCAUGCAUGAGAGACGAUUUAGUAAUACCAGUUCCGUAGUCAAUUUAUGUAAUACAAGGGAUAGGGCCUUGCCUAGCAGUGAUAUAGGAAAUAAUUUUUUUCUGAGGCAUUAAUAUUAUUUUGUUAAAGGAUGCUUAUAGAAGCCAAAUCUAAAUGUUGCUUAUACUGCGCUGAGAUACGCUGCUUGGGAGUUACUAUU